AUGCAAGUCGAGCGGGAUUAGAGCAAUACAUGAGAGCGGCGGACGGGUGCGUAGCGCGUAUGCAACCUGCCUUAUACAAAGGGAUAGCCCAUGGAAACGUGGAUUAAUACCUUAUGGGACUAAUUAACCGCAUGGUUUAUUAGUUAAAAUUUCGGUGGUAUAAGAUGGGCAUGCGUCUGAUUAGCUAGUUGGUGGGGUAACGGCCCACCAAGGCGACGAUCAGUAGGGGUCCUGAGAGGGUUACCCCCCACACUGGUACUGAGACACGGACCAGACUCC
This 279-nucleotide ribosomal RNA is filed under the name uncultured bacterium. RNAcentral describes it as "partial 16S ribosomal RNA". It matches the Rfam family "Bacterial small subunit ribosomal RNA", at positions 55 to 339 of the family's 1533-position model. The record is from RNAcentral.